AACCCUGACCGAGCAACGCCGCGUGAGUCGAAGAAGGUUUUCGGAUCGUAAAGCUCUGUUGUAAGAGAAGAACGUGUGUGAGAGUGGAAAGUUCACACAGUGACGGUAACUUACCAGAAAGGGACGGCUAACUACGUGCCAGCAGCCGCGGUAAUACGUAGGUCCCGAGCGUUGUCCGGAUUUAUUGGGCGUAAAGCGAGCGCAGGCGGUUUAAUAAGUCUUGAAGUUAAAGGCAGUGGCUUAACCAUUGUUCGCUUUGGAAACUGUUAGACUUGAGUGCANAAGGGGAGAGUGGAAUUCCAUGUGUAGCGGUGAAAUGCGUAGAUAUAUGGAGGAACACCGGUGGCNAAAGCGGCUCUCUGGUCUUGUAACUGACGCUGAGGCUCAAAGCUGGGGAGCAACC
Molecule: ribosomal RNA, 403 nt
Filed under: Streptococcus equinus
Lineage: Bacteria; Bacillati; Bacillota; Bacilli; Lactobacillales; Streptococcaceae
Description: bacterial SSU rRNA
Rfam family: Bacterial small subunit ribosomal RNA
Source: RNAcentral